This 345-nucleotide unclassified non-coding RNA is filed under the name soil metagenome. Its description in RNAcentral is "partial contains 5.8S ribosomal RNA, internal transcribed spacer 2, and large subunit ribosomal RNA". The stretch from base 1 to 121 matches the Rfam family "5.8S ribosomal RNA", at positions 35 to 154 of the family's 154-position model. The record is from RNAcentral.
GAUGAAGAACGUAGCGAAAUGCGAUAAGUAAUGCGAAUUGCAGAAUUUCCGUGAGUCAUCGAAUCUUUGAACGCACAGUGCGCCCACUGGUAUUCCGGUGGGCAUGCCUGUUCGAGCGUCAUUAUCCUCCCUCAAACCCCGGGUUUGGUGUUGGACCCAAGUUGUGUGAACAACUGGUCUCAAAGACAAUGACGGCGUCCGUGGGACCCUCGGUGCAACGAGCUUUUAGGAGCACGCAUCGAGUUGCAAGGACCUUCCGGGCCGGUCUCCUUUACCAUUUUACAAGGUUGACCUCGGAUCAGGUAGGAAUACCCGCUGAACUUAAGCAUAUCAAUAAGCGGAGGA